Molecule: ribosomal RNA, 464 nt
Filed under: uncultured bacterium
Lineage: Bacteria
Description: partial 16S ribosomal RNA
Rfam family: Bacterial small subunit ribosomal RNA
Source: RNAcentral
GACGAACGCUGGCGGCGUGCUUAACACAUGCAAGUCGAACGGUAAGGCCCCUUCGGGGGUGCGCGAGUGGGGGACGGGUGGGUAACACGUGGGUGAGUUGCCCGGCCCUUCGUGAUGGGCCUGGGAAACUGGGUCGAGUACCGACUAGGACCACGCUCUUCAUGGAUUGUGGGGGAAAGCUUCUGCGGUGUGGGAUGGGCCCGCGGCCUAUCAGCUUGUUGGUGGGGUGAUGGCCUACCAAGGCGACGACGGGUAGCCGGCCUGAGAGGGUGUCCGGCCACACUGGGACUGAGAUACGGCCCAGACUCCUACGGGAGGCAGCAGUGGGGAAUAUUGCACAAUGGGCGCAAGCCUGAUGCAGCGACGCCGCGUGGGGGAUGACGGCCUUCGGGUUGUAAACCUCUUUCAGUAGUGACGAAGCGCAAGUGACGGUAGGUACAGAAGAAGCACCGGCUAACUACGUG